Molecule: ribosomal RNA, 503 nt
Filed under: uncultured bacterium
Lineage: Bacteria
Description: bacterial SSU rRNA
Rfam family: Bacterial small subunit ribosomal RNA
Source: RNAcentral
GGUUCAGGAUGAACGCUAGCGACAGGCCUAACACAUGCAAGUCAGGGGCAGCACAAGGAGCAAUCUGAGGUGGCGACCGGCGCACGGGUGAGUAACACGUAUGCAACCUGCCUGUAAGCGGGGAAUAACCCGUUGAAAGAACGGACUAAUACCGCAUAAUACUAAAUUACUGCAUGGUAAUUUAUUUAAACAUUUAUGGCUUACAGAUGGGCAUGCGCAUGAUUAGCUAGUUGGAGAGGUAACGGCUCCCCAAGGCAACGAUCAUUAGGGGUUCUGAGAGGAAGGUCCCCCCACACUGGUACUGAGACACGGACCAGACUCCUACGGGAGGCAGCAGUGAGGAAUAUUGGUCAAUGGACGAGAGUCUGAACCAGCCAAGUCGCGUGCAGGAAGAAUGUCCUAUGGAUUGUAAACUGCUUUUGCAGGGGAAUAAAGUGCAUCACGUGUGAUGUUUUGUAUGUACUCUGCGAAUAAGGAUCGGCUAACUCCGUGCCAGCCGCCGC